This 305-nucleotide ribosomal RNA is filed under the name uncultured bacterium. Its description in RNAcentral is "bacterial SSU rRNA". It matches the Rfam family "Bacterial small subunit ribosomal RNA", at positions 335 to 655 of the family's 1533-position model. The record is from RNAcentral.
AGUCCUACGGGGGGCAGCAGUGGGGAAUAUUGGGCAAUGGGCGCAAGCCUGACCCAGCGACGCCGCGUGAGGGAAGACGGUCUUCGGAUUGUAAACCUCUUUCAGCAGGGAAGACAAAAGGACGGUACCUGCAGAAGAAGCCACGGCUAACUACGUGCCAACAGCCGCGGUAAUACGUAGGUGGCAAGCGUUAUCCGGAAUUACUGGGUGUAAAGGGUGUGUAGGCGGGGCUGCAAGUCAGAUGUGAAAAUUAUGGGGUCAACCCAUAACCUGCGUCUGAAACCCGAGCUCUUGAGAGGGGGAGG